Molecule: ribosomal RNA, 594 nt
Filed under: Triticum aestivum (bread wheat)
Lineage: Eukaryota; Viridiplantae; Streptophyta; Magnoliopsida; Poales; Poaceae
Description: partial small subunit ribosomal RNA
Source: RNAcentral
AUGGCACGCCGUUGCCACAACAAACUGGGCUUGAAGAAGACACAUCCGUCCAGAUCCAUCGUCAAAGAAGGCCCCUGCCUCCUCGCCUGGCUCGAAGGCGCCGCACCGUUGAAGGAUGGACAUGCUCACCCUAGAGCCUGGAAGGAUGGCAUCGAAGAAGCCACUUGGGCGGAACCAGGCAUUCCCAACAUGCCGGCGACGACUCACCUAGAGCAGAGCAACACCAUACGCCAUAGUUCUGACUUGAAAGAGGGCGAGCAGUCAGAAUGCAUUGGGCAGCAGCAAGGCCAAGAUCUGAUUGGGAGCAACGGCUCGGUCGACGAGCUGAAGUGCAGCCACCGUAGGAGGGGAACCCUAUCCCCUCCCGUCCUGGAGAUCCAUGGGCACCGGAGGAAUACACUGCAGCCCGGCGCAGAGCACCACAACAACUUGACCCAGCACCCAGGGAGACACCGCCACCGCUGGAUGCACGCUGCCGCCGCCGACACACUCCACCUACACCACAGUGAAGCCCACAACCCAUCCUUGUUCCCAAAACAGCGCCUUCAUGAAGGUUACGGCGCCAAGGGCGUCGCCGCUACCCAACAAAGUUGA